GGACAGAUAGCUCAGUGGUAGAGGUAUGUUCAAAAUGCCCCGCAAUGCAGCAGCAUCCAAAGACUAACAAUAAUGAUAGCGAGGGAUUGCAGAUCCCUAGGUCGCGUGUUCGAUCCACGCUCGGUCCU
Non-coding RNA from Dactylonectria macrodidyma, 128 nucleotides. The record is from the annotation of a GenBank genome assembly. NCBI's taxonomy places the organism in Eukaryota, Fungi, Ascomycota, Sordariomycetes, Hypocreales, Nectriaceae.